AACGCACGAGACCUGCGGACCUGCGGAAGGAUCAUUAACAAUUGUCCACUACAAUGGAUAAUUUUAUCCAUAUCCACCUUGUGUGAAUCACUGAACUGUCUGUUGGCAGGUUAGGCGCCCUCCAGUACCUCUGGUGGGAAGCCGUGGGUUUUAGACUUCUGGUCUGUGCUCGGCCUGCCAAUUUUACUUGUGUAAACUUGUCUAAAUUAUAGUUGACUGAAAUAUAUUAUAUUAUAUAAU
RNAcentral lists this unclassified non-coding RNA (240 nucleotides) under soil metagenome. RNAcentral's name for it is "partial contains 5.8S ribosomal RNA, internal transcribed spacer 2, and large subunit ribosomal RNA". The record is from RNAcentral.